UACGUAGGUGCAAGCGUUAUCCGGAUUUACUGGGUGUAAAGGGAGCGUAGACGGCGAUGCAAGCCAGAUGUGAAAGCCCGGGGCUCAACCCCGGGACUGCAUUUGGAACUGUAUAGCUAGAGUGUCGGAGAGGCAGGCGGAAUUCCUAGUGUAGCGGUGAAAUGCGUAGAUAUUAGGAGGAACACCAGUGGCGAAGGCGGCCUGCUGGACGAUGACUGACGUUGAGGCUCGAAAGCGUGGGGAGCAAACAGG
Molecule: ribosomal RNA, 252 nt
Filed under: uncultured bacterium
Lineage: Bacteria
Description: partial 16S ribosomal RNA
Rfam family: Bacterial small subunit ribosomal RNA
Source: RNAcentral